This 945-nucleotide long non-coding RNA is filed under the name Pan troglodytes (chimpanzee). Its description in RNAcentral is "long non-coding RNA NONPTRT018583". Lineage: Eukaryota; Metazoa; Chordata; Mammalia; Primates; Hominidae. The record is from RNAcentral.
CCCCCACCACCAGAUUUCACUUCCCUGCAGGCUUUAUUGUUCUGUCUCUGGGACCUAGCAGGUGACCCUGGGCAAGUUACUUCUCAUUUGUCCGGCAAGGACGCUAAACUCUGCCUUGCUGGGUCAGGGUCAUGGAGGGGAUGAAAUGUGAUAACACGAGGAAGCAGCCUGGGCUUCAGAGGCAGUAGAUCCUGGUCUGGUCCCAGCUCAGUGUGUGGGAACCUUGGUCACCGAACGUCCCUGAGUGAAUUUUUUUCCAUCACUUUAAAGUUGGGGGUAUUAUUGAUAGCAGUCCAAACCCCACAGGAGUACCCUGAGGACAGAGUGAGACGAGGUUUAGAGAAGUGCUUACUAUGGCAUCUGGCACAAGGAGGACUCCUGAUCAAUCUAAUACUCAUUUAUCAUUGUGGUUAACCUGUUUAAGGGACUCCGCAUGCAGAUGAGGCUUGGGAUGUGUUUGUUUUCUACCUUUUUGCAACCUCUUUUAUUGGUCUGUGUCGGUUUUCCCCUCCCAAAGCUGGGGGCAGGGUUGGGCUUUAUAAAACUUGAGCCCCUCUGGGGACUGGGUUCUCAGCAAGUUACCGCUCCUGCCAUCAUGCCACCCUGAUGGAUGUCCAAGCCUCACUUCCCUCCUGCACUCCCCGCUCCCGCCGCCGUCCCUGGGAUUAAGGGAGAGGAGAAUGGCUGCUUGUUACUGCCUACCUACUCUGUGCCAGGUUCUAUGCUCUGUGUUAUUUAUCAUCUCGAUAACCCCAUGGGGAAGAUGUCCAGCUCGCCGCUGUCCAAGAAACGUCGCGUGUCCGGGCCUGAUCCAAAGCCGGGUUCUAACUGCUCCCCUGCCCAGUCCGUGUUGUCCGAAGUGCCCUCGGUGCCAACCAACGGAAUGGCCAAGAACGGCAGUGAAGCAGACAUAGACGAGGGCCUUUACUCCCGGCAGCUGUAAGU